This is a long non-coding RNA of Oreochromis niloticus (Nile tilapia), 837 nucleotides long. RefSeq lists it as uncharacterized. The record is from RefSeq and is a predicted model, not a curated record. The transcript is spliced from 2 exons. NCBI's taxonomy places the organism in Eukaryota, Metazoa, Chordata, Actinopteri, Cichliformes, Cichlidae.
AUGAGAAACUGGUUAGUCCACAGUUUCUUUUGCUUGAAUAAAUAUUAGUCAUUGAAACUUCUAAAAAUUAUACUGACGCUGAAGUAACCGAGGCCACUGAUGGAGCCCUAAAGUUUACUCUCAUCAUUUGGUGCUGUCUUGAUUUUAGGAAGUCCUCUUAUAGCUCAUCACCUACUGUCAUUAAAGCUGCUGAUAUUGGGAUCGUUGAGUUAUAAAUAUCUAGGUUUGGUACUUGACUAUAAACUGUGUUUUGAAUCUCAUGCUGAUGCCACUACUAAAAAUGUUCAACAACGACUGUUCUUUUUAAGGAAAAUGAGAUCUUUUAAUGUCUCAUCUGAGAUGCUGUCUUUGUUUUAUAGAAGUUUUAUCGAAUCUGUGAUGUCCUUUUGUAUCGCUGCCUGGUUUGGUAACCUGACGGUGAAGAAUAAGAAUCGGUUGGGACUUCUGUGAGUUUGAGUUGUUGCCUUCCGGCCGCCGUUACCUCCGAGGAAGACCAAAAGACUCCAGGUUUCUUUUAUCCCCACUGCAUCUUGUCUCCUUAAUGGCAAAUAACUGUCCUUAGACUUUCUAUUAUUGUCAUUAUUAUUUUAUAUUAUUUUUCUGUUUCCUUUUAUCCUGCUGCUAAACUAAUCUCCCCUUGUGGGACAAUAAAGAAUUUGAAUUGAAUUGAAUUGAGGAGGAACAUACCCAUAUAAGGUAAUAAACUUUUCAUUCUUAGUGUUAAGAUUAGUGUUAAGAUGUUUAUACUAUACCAGUAUUUUUAAAAUGCACAAUAAACUUUUUUGCCUUCCAGUAAAAGCUAAAUCAAACUAUGACUUACUUUUAUUUGUAAAGAAA